This is a long non-coding RNA of Astatotilapia calliptera (eastern happy), 1083 nucleotides long. The record is from Ensembl. Lineage: Eukaryota; Metazoa; Chordata; Actinopteri; Cichliformes; Cichlidae.
AUAAGGACAAAAACUAACUAGAAAGUGCAUUUUCUGAAGAAACUGCAGUGUGAAUGCUUGAAUCUGAAUGUAUGGACUGAAAUGAAUUAAUUGCUGAAUUUUGAGUUAAAAAUUUUGAAUGAGAUAAAAAAACAAAAAAAACAACCUGAAUUUAACCUGAAAACAACAGUGCUGAACUGCUAAAAGCUGAAGGUUACACAGAAGAAGAAGUUGGAAAAAAGCUGAAAAUGUUUUAAUUGUAAAUUAGAAAAACCUAAGAAAUGAGAAAAGAACAUUUAGAGUCAGAAAACAUCUGAAAGAAUAUUAAAAGGUCAUAUUCUUUGAAUCACUGAAUGACUAAAAUGUGAUCCCUCCACUUGGACCCACACAGUUUAAAAAGUUUACAUCUCUGAGCUUUGAAAGACAAGAUGUUGGAAAGAGAACAACGAUGGCGACGUUUUGAGGGUAAAAUGAUGGCUGUAACACUGUGGACACAGCAGCAGUUGAAAGAGAAGUGCUUAAGAUGAAUCUUGGUACAGUGGCAGGCAGAGCUCGUUAAGCAGGCAGGUGUGAGCCUGGUUGCUAUAGUGACCGCACCCAAUGGCUCCAUACACACGUACACAGACAUGCGCCUCACUUUUGCUGCUUAAAAUGAACAGAAAAGUCAGGCCGAAACAAAUCGUUCCCAAAUGAAAAGUAAAAGUCGUAUUGACAAAAUUCUUUCACCGUGAGCGACAGCAGCUUCUAGUCUACCGAAUUCUCAGUUUUCAUGCCUGUGGAGUUUAUUAUAUGGACGUGGUGACAGUGUAAAGACACCAUGCUCUUCUGAUUUUCAAACGAACCUUCUGAGCCAUUUUAACAUUAGAGUCUAUGGAAGAGUUGGAGGGAGGAGGCUGUGCAUUGGUGACAUUUAUGAAAGAACCAUAACACCUAGUACAAUAGUAAACACAUUGGAUGAAAGAGGACAGCCAUGGCUACGUUUUGAGGGUAAAAUCAUACCUGUAGAGCAAACGCUGCGGACACAGCAGCAGUUUUAAAAAAGAUUUUAAGAUAAAUUUUUUUGCUCCUCUCACUCUAGCAGUUGAGCUGCCUCACUCUAGCCCC